Molecule: non-coding RNA, 123 nt
Organism: Triticum aestivum (bread wheat)
Lineage: Eukaryota; Viridiplantae; Streptophyta; Magnoliopsida; Poales; Poaceae
Source: Rfam
CAAGUACUCCCUCCGUCCGAAAAAGCUUGUCCUUCAAAUAGAUGUAUCUAGCACCAAAUUAGUGCUAGGUACAUUCAUUCGAAAGAUUGAAGGACAAGCUUUUUGGGACGGAGGGAGUAGUAA